Molecule: ribosomal RNA, 2536 nt
Filed under: unknown marine alpha proteobacterium JP66.1
Lineage: Bacteria; Pseudomonadati; Pseudomonadota; Alphaproteobacteria
Description: bacterial LSU rRNA
Rfam family: Bacterial large subunit ribosomal RNA
Source: RNAcentral
AGGCGAUGAAGGACGUGAUACGCUGCGAAAAGCGUCGGGGAGCUGCGAAUAAGCUUUGAUCCGAUGAUAUCCGAAUGGGGAAACCUACCUUAGAUGUCUAGAAAAUUUAAGGUGUUCUUUUUGAACAUCUUAUCUUUCUAGAUAUCGAUAAAAGGUAUCUGCACCUGAAUAAAAUAGGGUGUAUGAAGCGAACGUGGGGAACUGAAACAUCUAAGUACCCAUAGGAAAGGACAUCAACCGAGACUCCGUUAGUAGCGGCGAGCGAACGCGGACCAGGCCAGUGGCAAUAGUAAGAAAAGCGGAAGCGUCUGGAAAGUCGUGCCGUAGUGGGUGAUAGCCCCGUACGCGUUAAUCGAUCUAUUGUCCUCGAGUAGGGCGGAACACGUGAAAUUCUGUCUGAACAUGGGGGGACCACCCUCCAAGCCUAAGUACUCGUGCAUCACCGAUAGCGAACCAGUACCGUGAGGGAAAGGUGAAAAGCACCCCGACAAGGGGAGUGAAAUAGUACCUGAAACUGGAUGCCUACAAACAGUGGGAGGCCGCAAGGCUGACCGCGUACCUUUUGUAUAAUGGGUCAACGACUUAGUGUAGCAAGCAAGCUUAAGCCGAUAGGUGUAGGCGUAGCGAAAGCGAGUCUUAAUAGGGCGAAUAGUUUGUUGCAUUAGACCCGAAACCAAGUGAUCUAGCCAUGAGCAGGUUGAAGGUUGGGUAACACCAACUGGAGGACCGAACCCAUACACGUUGCAAUGUGUCGGGAUGACUUGUGGCUAGGGGUGAAAGGCCAAUCAAACUUGGAAAUAGCUGGUUCUCUGCGAAAUCUAUUUAGGUAGAGCGUCAAUCGAAUACUCCGGGGGGUAGAGCACUGGAUGGGCUAUGGGGUCCCAACGACUUACUGAUCCUAACCAAACUCCGAAUACCCGGAAGUAAUAAUUGGCAGACACACUGCGGGUGCUAACGUCCGUAGUGGAGAGGGCAACAACCCUGACCUCCAGUUAAGGUCCCCAAGUCAUGGCUAAGUGGGAAAGGAUGUGAGAAUCCCAAAACAACCAGGAUGUUGGCUUAGAAGCAGCCAUCAUUUAAAGAAAGCGUAACAGCUCACUGGUCUAAAUAAGGGUUCUUGCGCCGAAAAUGUAACGGGGCUAAAGCCAUGCACCGAAACUGAGGGCACUAUUUAUAGUGCGGUAGCAGAGCGUUCUGUAAGCCUGCGAAGGGAUACUCGUGAGAGAUCCUGGAGGUAUCAGAAGUGCAAAUGUUGACAUGAGUAACGAUAAAGAGGGUGAGAGACCCUCUCGCCGAAAGACCAAGGGUUCCUGCUUAAAGUUAAUCUGAGCAGGGUUAGCCGGCUCCUAAGGCGAGGCCGAAAGGCGUAGUCGAUGGGAAUGCAGUUAAUAUUCUGCAGCCUGGUGGUAGUGACGGAUCUCGUAAAUUGUACAUCCUUAUUGGAUUGGUUGUGCAGUGAAGAGGUUCCAGGAAAUAGCUCCACCAUAUAGACCGUACCCCAAACCGACACAGGUGGUCAGGUAGAGAAUACUAAGGCGCUUGAGAGAACUAUGUUGAAGGAACUCGGCAAAUUGCACGCGUAACUUCGGAAGAAGCGUGACCUGUAUUUACGCAAGUAGAUAUAGGUGGCACAGACCAGGGGGUAGCGACUGUUUAUCAAAAACACAGGGCUCUGCGAAGUCGCAAGACGACGUAUAGGGUCUGACGCCUGCCCGGUGCUGGAAGGUUAAGAGGAGGAGUGCAAGCUCUGAAUUGAAGCCCCAGUAAACGGCGGCCGUAACUAUAACGGUCCUAAGGUAGCGAAAUUCCUUGUCGGGUAAGUUCCGACCUGCACGAAUGGCGUAACGACUUCCCCGCUGUCUCCAACAUAGACUCAGUGAAAUUGAAUUCCCCGUGAAGAUGCGGGGUUCCUGCGGUCAGACGGAAAGACCCCGUGCACCUUUACUAUAGCUUCACACUGGCAUUCGCCAAGGCAUGUGUAGGAUAGGUGGUAGGCUUUGAAACUCUCACGCCAGUGGGGGUGGAGCCAUCCUUGAAAUACCACCCUUAUCUUCGUGGAUGUCUAACUGCGGUCCGUUAUCCGGAUCCAGGACAGUGUGUGGUGGGUAGUUUGACUGGGGCGGUCGCCUCCUAAAGAGUAACGGAGGCGCGCGAAGGUAGGCUCAGACCGGUCGGAAAUCGGUCGUUGAGUGCAAUGGCAUAAGCCUGCCUGACUGCGAGACUGACAAGUCGAGCAGAGACGAAAGUCGGUCAUAGUGAUCCGGUGGUCCCGCGUGGAAGGGCCAUCGCUCAACGGAUAAAAGGUACGCCGGGGAUAACAGGCUGAUGACCCCCAAGAGUCCAUAUCGACGGGGUUGUUUGGCACCUCGAUGUCGGCUCAUCGCAUCCUGGGGCUGGAGCAGGUCCCAAGGGUUUGGCUGUUCGCCAAUUAAAGCGGUACGUGAGCUGGGUUCAGAACGUCGUGAGACAGUUCGGUCCCUAUCUGCCGUGGGCGUAGGAAUAUUGAUGGGAUCUGCCCCUAGUACGAGAGGACCGG